This 569-nucleotide ribosomal RNA is filed under the name Alternaria mali. RNAcentral describes it as "eukaryotic LSU rRNA". The stretch from base 197 to 350 matches the Rfam family "5.8S ribosomal RNA". The record is from RNAcentral. Lineage: Eukaryota; Fungi; Ascomycota; Dothideomycetes; Pleosporales; Pleosporaceae.
UUCCGUAGGGUAACCUGCGGAGGGAUCAUUACACAAAUAUGAAGGCGGGCUGGAACCUCUCGGGGUUACAGCCUUGCUGAAUUAUUCACCCUUGUCUUUUGCGUACUUCUUGUUUCCUUGGUGGGUUCGCCCACCACUAGGACAAACAUAAACCUUUUGUAAUUGCAAUCAGCGUCAGUAACAAAUUAAUAAUUACAACUUUCAACAACGGAUCUCUUGGUUCUGGCAUCGAUGAAGAACGCAGCGAAAUGCGAUAAGUAGUGUGAAUUGCAGAAUUCAGUGAAUCAUCGAAUCUUUGAACGCACAUUGCGCCCUUUGGUAUUCCAAAGGGCAUGCCUGUUCGAGCGUCAUUUGUACCCUCAAGCUUUGCUUGGUGUUGGGCGUCUUGUCUCUAGCUUUGCUGGAGACUCGCCUUAAAGUAAUUGGCAGCCGGCCUACUGGUUUCGGAGCGCAGCACAAGUCGCACUCUCUAUCAGCAAAGGUCUAGCAUCCAUUAAGCCUUUUUUUCAACUUUUGACCUCGGAUCAGGUAGGGAUACCCGCUGAACUUAAGCAUAUCAAUAAGGCGGA